UGAACGAAGUAGCAAUACUUAGUGGCAGACGGGUGAGUAACAUGUAGGUAUCUUGCCCUUUGGCCUGGCAAUAACACGAGGAAACUUGUGCUAAUACCGGAUAAGUCUUUUACGGAGAAAGCUUUAUGCACCAUUGGGAUGAGCCUGCACUUGAUUAGUUUGUUGGUGGGGUAACGGCCUACCAAGACUGUGAUCAAUAGCUGAUUUGAGAGGAUGAUCAGCCACAUUGGGACUGAGACACGGCCCAAACUCCUACGGGAGGCAGCAGUGGGGAAUCUUGCACAAUGGAGGAAACUCUGAUGCAGCGAUGCCGCGUGAGUGAAGAAGGCCCUUGGGUUGUAAAGCUCUUUCGUCGGGGAAGAAAAUGACUGUACCCGAAUAAGAAGGUCCGGCUAACUUCGUGCCAGCAGCCGCGGUAAUACGAAGGGACCUAGCGUAGUUCGGAAUUACUGGGCUUAAAGAGUUCGUAGGUGGUUGAAAAAGUUGGUGGUGAAAUCCCAGAGCUUAACUCUGGAACUGC
Molecule: ribosomal RNA, 520 nt
Filed under: uncultured Alphaproteobacteria bacterium
Lineage: Bacteria; Pseudomonadati; Pseudomonadota; Alphaproteobacteria
Description: bacterial SSU rRNA
Rfam family: Bacterial small subunit ribosomal RNA
Source: RNAcentral